GCCUGUUUUUACAAAAACAUCGCUCUCUGUAGUUCGUAAAUAGAGAGUCGGACCUGCCCAGUGAAUUUUUAACGGCCGCGGUACUCUGACCGUGCAAAGGUAGCAUAAUAAUUUGCCUUAUAAUUGAAGGCUGGUAUGAAUGGUUUGACGAGAAUAAAGCUGUCUCUUUGUAAUUCGCUAGAAAUUUAUUUACAGAUGAAAAAGUCUGUAUACUAUUAAAAGACAAGAAGACCCUAUCGAGCUUUAAAAAAUUUAAUAGAUUAUAAAUAAGCCAAUAACCCUAAAAGGCUGUCUAUUAAAAAUUUUAGUUGGGGCGACUGAGGAACAAAUAAAGCUUCCUUAAAUGUGUGUUUUAUAUUGCUUCUUAGCCUUGAUCCAGAAAUUUCUGAUUAAUAAAAUUAGUUACCGUAGGGAUAACAGCAUUAUCUUUUUUGAGAGCUCUUAUCGAAAAAAAGGUUUGUGACCUCGAUGUUGGACCAGAAUGUCCUAAAGAUGCAGAAGUCUUUAAGGGUUGGUCUGUUCGACCAUUAAUAUUCUACGUGAUCUGAGUUCA
This 553-nucleotide ribosomal RNA is filed under the name Quasimitra cardinalis. RNAcentral's name for it is "partial 16S ribosomal RNA". It matches the Rfam family "Bacterial large subunit ribosomal RNA", at positions 1798 to 2613 of the family's 2925-position model. Lineage: Eukaryota; Metazoa; Mollusca; Gastropoda; Neogastropoda; Mitridae. The record is from RNAcentral.